CCUACGGGAGGCAGCAGUGAGGAAUAUUGGUCAAUGGACGCAAGUCUGAACCAGCCAUGUCGCGUGCAGGAAGACGGCUCUAUGAGUUGUAAACUGCUUUUGUACGAGGGUAAACGCAGACACGUGUAUCUGUCUGAAAGUAUCGUACGAAUAAGGAUCGGCUAACUCCGUGCCAGCAGCCGCGGUAAUACGGAGGAUUCAAGCGUUAUCCGGAUUUAUUGGGUUUAAAGGGUGCGUAGGGGGGCGGAUAAGUUAGAGGUGAAAUCUCGAGGCUCAACUUCGAAAUUGCAUUUGAUACUGUCAGUCUAGAGAAUAGUUGCGGUAGGCGGAAUGUAUGGUGUAGCGGUGAAAUGCUUAGAUAUCAUACAGAACUCCGAUUGCGAAGGCAGCUUACUAAGCUACUUCUGACAUUGAGGCACGAAAGCGUGGGGAGCAAACAGGAUUAGAUACCCUAGUAGUC
Molecule: ribosomal RNA, 460 nt
Filed under: uncultured bacterium
Lineage: Bacteria
Description: partial 16S ribosomal RNA
Rfam family: Bacterial small subunit ribosomal RNA
Source: RNAcentral